Molecule: ribosomal RNA, 433 nt
Filed under: uncultured bacterium
Lineage: Bacteria
Description: partial 16S ribosomal RNA
Rfam family: Bacterial small subunit ribosomal RNA
Source: RNAcentral
AACGAACGCUGGCGGCAUGCCUAACACAUGCAAGUCGAACGAGACCUUCGGGUCUAGUGGCGCACGGGUGCGUAACGCGUGGGAACCUGCCCUUAGGUUCGGAAUAACUCCCCGAAAGGGGUGCUAAUACCGGAUAAUGUCUUCGGACCAAAGAUUUAUCGCCUUUGGAUGGGCCCGCGUUGUAUUAGCUAGUUGGUAGGGUAAAAGCCUACCAAGGCUACGAUCCAUAGCUGGUCUGAGAGGAUGAUCAGCCACACUGGGACUGAGACACGGCCCAGACUCCUACGGGAGGCAGCAGUGGGGAAUAUUGGACAAUGGGCGAAAGCAUGAUCCAGCAAUGCCGCGUGAGUGAUGAAGGCCUUAGGGUUGUAAAGCUCUUUUACCCGGGAUGAUAAUGACAGUACCGGGAGAAUAAGCUCCGGCUAACUCCGUG